This is a non-coding RNA of Nicotiana tabacum (common tobacco), 424 nucleotides long. The record is from RefSeq and is a predicted model, not a curated record. Lineage: Eukaryota; Viridiplantae; Streptophyta; Magnoliopsida; Solanales; Solanaceae.
CGCCUCAUCAAAAUAAGUAGUUCCGUAACUGAAGUCUGCCCCUUUGCAUUGCCAAUUGCUACUGUGUCAGUGCCACGGACCGCCAUAGUAUUCUCUUCUCACGCGAUAUAUAUACACACAUUUGUUCAUCUAGUAUAUAAUUUCAGCAUCUUUUGCUGUUCAGUAGCAGGGAGAGGAAUCGAAGCGAAAAGCCUAGGGUUUGGUUUCAAUUUUCACAUAGUUCUGUGUGCAAACUUUGUGAAAUACUAGGGUUUUCCCCGUGCCCUAAAUCUCGUCUUCGCAUUUCGAAAAAAUGGCUGGAAAAAACGUGAUCUCCGAUGACGAAGAUGAAGUUGGAAUUGAGGAUGAAGAGAGGGAUGAAGAGCCUGUUGAUGGAGACGGAGUAGAUGAACGGGACGAGGAGGAUGAAGACGAAGAAGAAGAU